This is a long non-coding RNA of Bufo bufo (common toad), 423 nucleotides long. RefSeq lists it as uncharacterized. Lineage: Eukaryota; Metazoa; Chordata; Amphibia; Anura; Bufonidae. The transcript is spliced from 3 exons. The record is from RefSeq and is a predicted model, not a curated record.
GAAUCAAAUUUUUCUAAACUUUUCUCGACACUAAUGCAAGAAAGAGAGAGAAAGAGGAGUACUUGGAAUCUAGAGAACAUGGCCAAGAGUCAGUAAGGUAUCAGCCAUUGAAGACAAUAAAGAUUUUACUGCCAUGGAGGGAUUACUGAGCAAAGAUAUGGCUGUAAGAAAUCAUCAUGGUGGUCUGGUCUGAAAGGAGAAGAAGAGGAAAGAGAAUGUCUACAAGUGUUGGACGAACAUCGGCAAGGAUUUUUCGCGAACACGUGUUCUUGAUGUUCACGAACCGCGCGUUCGUGGCAGGCCCCAUUUACUUCAUUGACAGGCGAACCUGAAAAACCUUCAGGUAAUAUUUGCAGCCACCAAAUACUUACGAGAAGUGCACAAAUACUCCCACAACAUGGACAGUGACAUACCAGAGGGGGA